GACGAACGCUGGCGGCGUGCCUAAUACAUGCAAGUAGAACGCUGAAGGAGGAGCUUGCUUCUCUGGAUGAGUUGCGAACGGGUGAGUAACGCGUAGGUAACCUGCCUGGUAGCGGGGGAUAACUAUUGGAAACGAUAGCUAAUACCGCAUAAUAGUAGAUGUUGCAUGACAUUUGCUUAAAAGGUGCAAUUGCAUCACUACCAGAUGGACCUGCGUUGUAUUAGCUAGGUGGUGGGGUAACGGCUCACCAAGGCGACGAUACAUAGCCGACCUGAGAGGGGGAUCGGCCACACUGGGACUGAGACACGGCCCAGACUCCUACGGGAGGCAGCAGUAGGGAAUCUUCGGCAAUGGACGGAAGUCUGACCGAGCAACGCCGCGUGAGUGAAGAAGGUUUUCGGAUCGUAAAGCUCUGUUGUAAGAGAAGAACGAGUGUGAGAGUGGAAAGUUCACACUGUGACGGUAUCUUACCAGAAAGGGACGGCUAACUACGUG
Molecule: ribosomal RNA, 495 nt
Filed under: uncultured bacterium
Lineage: Bacteria
Description: partial 16S ribosomal RNA
Rfam family: Bacterial small subunit ribosomal RNA
Source: RNAcentral